Molecule: unclassified non-coding RNA, 316 nt
Filed under: uncultured Thelephoraceae
Lineage: Eukaryota; Fungi; Basidiomycota; Agaricomycetes; Thelephorales; Thelephoraceae
Description: sequence contains ITS2
Source: RNAcentral
AACGCACCUUGCGCCUCUUGGCUAUUCCGAGAGGCAUGCCUGUUUGAGUAUCAUGAACACCUCAACUCUCACGGUUUGCCCGUGAUGAGCUUGGACUUCUGGAGGUUUUGCUGGCCCGCGGUCGGCUCCUCUCAAAUCGAUCAGCUUACCAGUGUUUGGUGGCGUCAUGGGUGUGAUAACUAUCUACGCUUGUGGCCGUCCGCCAGGUAACCUUCAGCGAUGGAGGUUUGCUGGGGCUUACAAAUGUCUCUCCCCAGCGAAGACAGCUUUUUGAACGUUCGAUCUCAAAUCAGGUAGGACUACCCGCUGAACUUAA